AGUAGCGGCGAGUGAAGCGGGAAGAGCUCAAAUUUGUAAUCUGGCGUCCUUCGGGCGUCCGAGUUGUAAUCUAUAGAAGUGUUUUCCGUGCCGGACCAUGUCCAAGUCCCUUGGAACAGGGUAUCAAAGAGGGUGACAAUCCCGUACUUGACAUGACCACCGGUGCUCUGUGAUACACUUUCUACGAGUCGAGUUGUUUGGGAAUGCAGCUCAAAAUGGGUGGUAAAUUCCAUCUAAAGCUAAAUAUUGGCGAGAGACCGAUAGCGAACAAGUACCGUGAGGGAAAGAUGAAAAGCACUUUGGAAAGAGAGUUAAACAGUACGUGAAAUUGUUGAAAGGGAAACGAUUGAAGUCAGUCGUGUUCUUUGGACUCAGCCGGUUCUUCCGGUCUAUUUCCUUUGAACGGGUCAACAUCAGUUUUGUCCGGUGGAUAAAGGCAGGAAGAAAGUGGCUCCCUCGGGAGUGUUAUAGCUUUCUGUCACAUACACUGGAGGAGACUGAGG
This 503-nucleotide ribosomal RNA is filed under the name Vanrija musci. Its description in RNAcentral is "eukaryotic LSU rRNA". It matches the Rfam family "Eukaryotic large subunit ribosomal RNA", at positions 82 to 591 of the family's 3401-position model. The record is from RNAcentral. Lineage: Eukaryota; Fungi; Basidiomycota; Tremellomycetes; Trichosporonales; Trichosporonaceae.